UACGAGGGGUGCAAGCGUUAUUCGGAAUGACUGGGCGUAAAGGGUGCGUAGACGGUAUGUUAAGUCUUUUGUUAAAGACCUCAGCCUAACUGAGGAUCAGCGAGGGAAACUGGCGUACUUGAGGUUGGAAGAGAGGAGUGGAAUUCUCGGAGUAGCGGUAAAAUGCGUAGAUCUCGAGAGGAACACCAAUGGCGAAGGCAGCUCCUUGGUCCAAUCCUGACGUUGAAGCACGAAAGCGUGGGUAGCAAACAGG
RNAcentral lists this unclassified non-coding RNA (253 nucleotides) under uncultured bacterium. Its description in RNAcentral is "contains 16S-23S intergenic spacer region". It matches the Rfam family "Bacterial small subunit ribosomal RNA", at positions 524 to 776 of the family's 1533-position model. The record is from RNAcentral.